GAUGAACGCUGGCGGCGUGCUUAACACAUGCAAGUCGAGCGAUGAAGUUUCCUUCGGGAAAUGGAUUAGCGGCGGACGGGUGAGUAACACGUGGGUAACCUGCCUCAUAGAGUGGAAUAGCCUUCCGAAAGGGAGAUUAAUACCGCAUAACGUUGAAAGAUGGCAUCAUCAUUCAACCAAAGGAGCAAUCCGCUAUGAGAUGGACCCGCGGCGCAUUAGCUAGUUGGUGGGGUAACGGCCUACCAAGGCGACGAUGCGUAGCCGACCUGAGAGGUUGAACGGCCACAUUGGGACUGAGACACGGCCCAG
Molecule: ribosomal RNA, 309 nt
Filed under: uncultured bacterium
Lineage: Bacteria
Description: bacterial SSU rRNA
Rfam family: Bacterial small subunit ribosomal RNA
Source: RNAcentral